GUUGAGUUCUAGCUUGUGAAUAUCCUAGGUCUUCCUCUUAACCAAUCUCAGAAAAAGUGACUUCACAGAAACUGCCUGCAGUCAUUAAUGUAAAACUGAACAUACAUUCUUUCACACUCCAACACAAUGCAUUAAUGCAAGAAAUGUAGAUUAUUGCACAGCUGAAUGUCAACAUUGUGCUAAGUACCUCUUAGGAAAAAAGAAGAGAUAAAUUUUAAACAAGUGAACAAAAAAAAUAACAGUUUAAUGACAUAAAAGGUUGAAACCGGAGAAAUCCUCAGAUUCGCGAACGCUGUGCGUUUGUCAGACCUAUUUGCUAUUAUUUUUUAAUCAACGGUCAACUAGGCAUUAAAAGCAUCUUACUGUAUAAAUUAUGCAGAUUUAUUUUCAUAUGUGACAGUAUUGAAAGACCAAUAAGAUUAAUACGAGUUGACCUCGGUCAAAUGCAGACUUUUUUAAAGCCGUUAAUGAAGGUAAUUUGUACAACAGUAAAGUGUUUUGUAUCUGUACAUUUGGGCAAUAACUUUAUGAAUGUUUCGUUUUGUACUCUGAAUACAUUUUCUCAUGGCCUCACUGUCUUGCCACAGCAACGAGUUUUUUUAAAACAAAGGAUUUUUUUAAACGACUUUAUUAUCAUAUAAACCCACAACCACCUGUUUAAACUCCAAAUGUCAUGAAUGAGUUUUCAGUUUUGACACACCAAGAUGGUUGUCUUUUUGUACUGUUUUAGCAAAAAAUAAAUAAAAAUCCCAUUACUUAAAAUUGUUCAAGCAAAGCCAAACAUGGCAUUGGCAGCUUUUGCUCGAACCUCUGCAUUGGCAGGAAGUUAUAUGCAAAGUUGAAAGGUCAUUAUGCUGAGGUCAAGUAGUCAGCUUGAUUCAGAUGAAACCUGUUAUGUGUAGCAUAAACAUUCCAAGCAGUAAUCUAAAACAUCCCCUUCCUCACCUCUAAGAAGCAUUACAAUCAAAUUAGGGGAAAUGUGCUACUUUAUAUAUGCAAUGUAUUUUGGAUAUUGAAUAUAUGAAUCUAUAUAUAAUUUUGCAAUUAAUCAUUUUGUUAUUAUUGUCAUUCCUGCAAUGUAUUAAGUAUUAUGUUUUGUAAAAGGGUUGUAUAGGAAAAUGUGACAAAAUAAAUGUUUUUACUUCAAAACAG
Long non-coding RNA from Clupea harengus (Atlantic herring), 1152 nucleotides. Lineage: Eukaryota; Metazoa; Chordata; Actinopteri; Clupeiformes; Clupeidae. The record is from Ensembl.